CUGAUGUAUGUGCGAGUCAACACAUGAGUAAACCUAAAAGGCACAAGGAAACUGAUUAGUGAGAUCCCUCACAGGUGAACCGCCGACCGACCUUGAUCUUCAGAGAAUGGUUUGAGUGUGAGCAUGCCUGUUAGGAAAGAUGGCUAUGCCUGAGUGCAGUGAAGCCAGAGGAAACUGUGGUGGAGGCUCGCAGCGAUAAUGACAUACAAAUCGUUCAUCAGAAUUGGGUAUAGGGGUGAAAGACUAAUCAAACCUUCUAAAAGCU
This 265-nucleotide non-coding RNA is filed under the name Eutrema salsugineum. RNAcentral describes it as "Eukaryotic large subunit ribosomal RNA". It matches the Rfam family "Eukaryotic large subunit ribosomal RNA", at positions 675 to 952 of the family's 3401-position model. Lineage: Eukaryota; Viridiplantae; Streptophyta; Magnoliopsida; Brassicales; Brassicaceae. The record is from Rfam by way of RNAcentral.